Molecule: ribosomal RNA, 252 nt
Filed under: uncultured bacterium
Lineage: Bacteria
Description: partial 16S ribosomal RNA
Rfam family: Bacterial small subunit ribosomal RNA
Source: RNAcentral
UACGGAGGGUGCAAGCGUUACCCGGAAUCACUGGGCGUAAAGGGCGUGUAGGCGGCCCGCCAAGUCUGACUUUAAAGACCGAAGCUCAACUUCGGGCAUGGGUUGGAAACUGACGGGCUAGACGGAUGGAGAGGUCACUGGAAUUCCUGGUGUAGCGGUGGAAUGCGUAGAUACCAGGAGGAACACCAACGGCGAAGGCAAUCCCCUGGCCUGCACUGACGCUCAUGCACGAAAGCGUGGGGAGCAAACAGG